Molecule: transfer RNA, 359 nt
Filed under: Microcystis sp. BG21
Lineage: Bacteria; Bacillati; Cyanobacteriota; Cyanophyceae; Chroococcales; Microcystaceae
Description: 16S-23S ribosomal RNA intergenic spacer
Rfam family: tRNA (bases 135-208)
Source: RNAcentral
AAGGGAGACCUAAUUCAGGUAGGAGACGAAAAAAAAGUAGUCCCUACCAGGAAUCAAUCCCAAAAGGUCGGAGCGAGGCGAAAUUGGCUUUCAAACUAGGUUCUGGGUUCAAACAAGACCUGAAUCAGGAACAAGGGCUAUUAGCUCAGGUGGUUAGAGCGCACCCCUGAUAAGGGUGAGGUCCCUGGUUCGAGUCCAGGAUGGCCCACCUGCACAGGUGGCAAAAACAAGAGAAGCGAGGAAUCAGCACCUUAUCUUACUUAUAUAGUAAGAGAGAAUGCUGGCUCUGAGUUCAGAGUCCAGAGGAACCUUGAAAACUGCAUAGAGCUAGGUGAAAAAGCCAAAAAAGAAGACCGCAA